RNAcentral lists this ribosomal RNA (391 nucleotides) under uncultured bacterium. Its description in RNAcentral is "bacterial SSU rRNA". It matches the Rfam family "Bacterial small subunit ribosomal RNA", at positions 28 to 419 of the family's 1533-position model. The record is from RNAcentral.
GACGAACGCUGGCGGCGUGCUUAACACAUGCAAGUCGAGCGGUAAGGCCCCUUCGGGGGUACGACGAGCGGCGAACGGGUGAGUAACACGUGGGUGACCUGCCCUCAGCUCUGGGAUAAGCCUGGGAAACUGGGUCUAAUACCGGAUAUGACUCCAUGAUGCAUGUUGUGGGGUGGAAAGCCUUGUGCGGCUGAGGAUGGGCCCGCGGCCUAUCAGCUUGUUGGUGGGGUGAUGGCCUACCAAGGCGACGACGGGUAGCCGGCCUGAGAGGGCGACCGGCCACACUGGGACUGAGACACGGCCCAGACUCCUACGGGAGGCAGCAGUGGGGAAUCUUGCGCAAUGGGCGAAAGCCUGACGCAGCGACGCCGCGUGAGGGAUGACGGCCUGG